CAGCCGCCGCGGUAAUACGAAGGGUGCAAGCGUUAAUCGGAAUUACUGGGCGUAAAGGGAGCGUAGGCGGACAUUUAAGUCAGGGGUGAAAUCCCAGAGCUCAACUCUGGAACUGCCUUUGAUACUGGGUGUCUUGAGUGUGAUAGAGGUAUGUGGAACUCCGAGUGUAGAGGUGAAAUUCGUAGAUAUUCGGAAGAACACCAGUGGCGAAGGCGACAUACUGGAUCAUUACUGACGCUGAGGCUCGAAAGCGUGGGGAGCAAACAGGAUUAGAUACCCCGGUAGUCCCUGUCUCUUAUAC
RNAcentral lists this ribosomal RNA (301 nucleotides) under uncultured bacterium. Its description in RNAcentral is "partial 16S ribosomal RNA". It matches the Rfam family "Bacterial small subunit ribosomal RNA", at positions 509 to 807 of the family's 1533-position model. The record is from RNAcentral.